CCUCUGAACUCUGUUCCAGAAGCUGAUGAAAAUUUAUUGGGAGGUGAGCUCAUGUCAUUUAGGAAGUAGCUUUUCCUGGGUAAGUACUGCCCUGAGAGUGUGCUCAGGUUACAGUUCAUGAUUUAAAUGCUUGGUUUCACUUGGUUUGAGAUCAAGCAAAUUGAGGAACUUUGUUUAAAAUUCUCUACCCUCAAAUUCCAGUGUCUCAGCUGAUGUAUUUAAGAAUCAAAUUUCCCUCUGGUUUGUGGUGUUGGAGACAGUCUGGGUGCAGUGCUGAAAUGUUGGAUACUGCGGGGUGUUAUGGUUGGAAUGGGUCAAAAAUACAUCAAUAUAGGGGAUGAAGCAUGAAGUAAAGAGGGAUCCUGACACUGGAACAUCCCACUGAAUGUGGAAUCAUCACCGACUGGGAUGACGUGGGAAAGGGCAUGGAGCUUCCUGAUGGACAGGGGAAGGAAUUCACCACUGGGAAUGAAUGGUGCUGAUGCCCAGGAGUAUUUUGCUUGUAUAAUUACCAUGCUGAGGUUACAAAGGAGGACAUUCCAGAAAACAACAGUCCUGACACAAACAAAACCAGAAUUGUAACACGGUGACAACAAGCAAUGAAAGGCGCAAGCUUUGAGGUGAAUUAAGUUCGUGAAGGUGGAAGCCAAGCCCAGCGACAUCAGAGGCUGCUGUGGAGGAGAAUUAAAUUAACAGGGUAAAAUAUCUCCUGUUUAAGGUUGGCCUCAGGCAAGAAUGAGUUUGUCAGUGUAAUAUGUUGUUGAAUUUUAAUAUGGAAAUGUCUCCUGGCAUGUAUUUCGAACACACUACAAACAGUGAUAUUGAUCUAACCUUCAAUUAAUGGGAGAGGUCCUCUGUGAAAAUUGGAUCUGGGUUUGAAUGGCAAAUAGGUUUAAUAUUCUGAUGACAGUGGAUCAUUUGCACAGCUCAGUAAGGACUAUAAAUCACCAGGAUUAGGGCUUUUUUUUUUUAUUAUCAUUUUAAUGCAGGCUUGUUUUCCCUGGAGCAAGGGGCCAGGAGUGUGGUAAAUCAUUAAAAAAUCAUGGAGCUGGUGUCAGUAGGUAUGGACAACAAAUAAUCUACUUGUGCUAAAUGAAUUAUUUGAAAUCCAUUCACUCCUGCUCUCUGUUGCUGUGUUUUUUAGAUGUGUGCUCUCUUUUGGGAUAGAAUGAUUGCUCUCCCUUUAG
Molecule: long non-coding RNA, 1187 nt
Filed under: Parus major (Great Tit)
Lineage: Eukaryota; Metazoa; Chordata; Aves; Passeriformes; Paridae
Description: lncRNA (ENSPMJG00000007519.1)
Source: RNAcentral